UUGGAGGGCAAGUCUGGUGCCAGCAGCCGCGGUAAUUCCAGCUCCAAUAGCGUAUAUUAAAGUUGUUGCAGUUAAAAAGCUCGUAGUUGAAUUUCGGGGUCAGUAGGCUGGUCGUGCCACAGGUAUGUACUGGUCUCACUGAUUCCUCCUUCCUGAUGAACCGUAAUGCCAUUAAUUUGGUGUUGCGGGGAAUCUGGACUGUUACUUUGAAAAAAUUAGAGUGUUUAAAGCAGGCUAACGCUUGAAUACAUUAGCAUGGAAUAAUGAAAUAGGACGAUCGAUCCUAUUUUGCUGGUUUCUAGGAUUGACGUAAUGAUUAAUAGGGAUAGUUGGGGGCAUUAGUAUUCAAUUGUCAGAGGUGAAAUUCUUGGAUUUAUUGAAGACUAACUACUGCGAAAGCAUUUGCCAAGGAUGUUUUCAUUAAUCAAGAACGAAAGUUAGGGGAUCGAAGACGAUCAGAUACCGUCGUAGUCUUAACCAUAAACUAUGCCGACUAGGGAUCGGAUGAUGUUAAUUUUUUAAUGACUCAUUCGGCGCCUUACGGGAAA
Molecule: ribosomal RNA, 548 nt
Filed under: uncultured Glomeromycotina
Lineage: Eukaryota; Fungi; Glomeromycota
Description: SSU rRNA
Rfam family: Eukaryotic small subunit ribosomal RNA
Source: RNAcentral